UAAGGGUGGGUGGUGUAUCUGUUACUGUAGUGUUCUCAGGUUAAGGGUGGGUGGUCAGAGAUGGGCAAAAAUACAUCAAAAUGUAUUUUGAUACAAAAUACCCCUCAUAAAUGUAUCAAAAUAAAAUACAAAAUACUGGUGCCAGAAAAUGUAACAAAAUACAAUACAUGUAUUUUGUAUUUAAAAUAUAGGAAAUACUUUUUCUGGAUUUUCCGUUUUCUCACAGUUUGGUAUAGCAGAGCAUUCAGGUUUGGGCUAUAUAAUGUACACAAAGCUCUGGGGAACCCCACAAAAAGGAAAAACAGUCACAGAAUAUCAGUGUAACUAAGCAAAGCUAUUAAAAGACAACAACUUGAUUGAUUAUGUAUAUAUAUAUAUUUGCAGGCAGCAGCUGUGUGACACAUUUUUUCACAAAACAGGGAUCUCAAUGCAAUCUCUGGCUUCCGGGAGGGCUCGCCCCACCAUGCUUUUGUCAUACGUCAAUUGUGUAUAAGGACGUCAUACUGCUUUGAUCAAGUCACAGGCCAUGUCUAUUACCGCACACUUCAAACACUGACUUUCAGUGCUUAGGGCGUUCACACUGACAGAACCAGCAGAAUUCAGGGCACUGAAAGUACCUGGAUGGCGCACUGCAAACGGUAAAAAAAUGCAGUGUGAAAUAAUAGACACUACUCACUCUAAACAGGCGCCAUCUUGGCUACGUAGCGGAAGAGGAGGAGCCCUUUCAACCAUUAUUGCUGGUUACAAUAACUGUGUUAUCUGAUAGUACAGUGUCUAUUUCUCUGUAACUUUUAAAAAAUCUAAGCGAGAAAACGCUAAAAGAUGUACAUUUACAUACAAAACACGGCUGUCAGCAGAGUUUUGGUCCGCCAUCUUUGUUUUUCGCCAAAUUUCCAGUUGGCCGGAGCACAGAUUUACGGGUUAAAGGCUCCCACAUUUGUGUCUCUCAGUGUUCCAUUUCAGACAACACUAAUCAGCGACAGAACAAACUACAUAUGGAAGUGCACUGUAUUGCAGUGCACUGUAUUGCAGAGUACUUCGUAAAGUGUGCCGUAAUAGCCACGGCCACAUUCUGUCAAGAUGGCUAACGUUCGGUGCAACAACUCGAUUCGCUCUUUGAAAGAACCUCCUUUAAGUCGCUGUACUAAUAAAGAUAAAUUGACAAGGAUCAAGACAGCUAUCUAAGUUUUCGAACACAGUCCUGUUUUGUGAAAAAAAUGGAUUUAAUGUGCAUUUCGCCCCAAAAAGGGGCGGGGUCAUUUGAAGCACCACUUUUGCCUGACUGUUGCCUGAUUCGACAAUGACAUUCAGAGGCAGAUCAGACGGUCUAGUGGUAGAAUCUGACAGAAAAAAAAUCUCCUUCUGCCUUAACAAUGGAGAAAGUAUUUUGAGAAUUUUAAAUACAAAAUGACUCUACUCUAAAGUAUUUUGAUACAAAUUGCUUUAGAUUUUUUAUCGGCCCUAUCAAAUUACAAAAUACUCAAAGCAGUUGAAAUAUGUAUUUCAAAUACAAGUAAUUGAAAUACUGCCCAUCUCUGUGGGUGGUGUAUCUGUUACUGUAGUGUUCUCAGGUUAAGGGUGGUGUAUCUGUAUCUGUAGUGUUCUCAGGUUAAGGGUGGUGUAUCUGUAGUGUUCUCAGGUUAAGGGUGGGUGGUGUAUCUGUAACUAGUGUUCUCAGGUUAAGGGUGGUGUAUCUGUAUCUGUAGUGUUCUCAGGUUAAGGGUGGUGUAUCUGUUACUGUAGUGUUCUCAGUUAUCUCUACAGUCCACAGGAGCCUUAGAAAGCUGGAACCUUUCAAUUUCCUCUGACAGAAAUCAAAUUAGCCACCACUGUGACCGCAACGUAAUCAUGUGUGUGA
Clupea harengus (Atlantic herring) is the source of this 1858-nucleotide long non-coding RNA. NCBI's taxonomy places the organism in Eukaryota, Metazoa, Chordata, Actinopteri, Clupeiformes, Clupeidae. The record is from Ensembl.